This is a long non-coding RNA of Homo sapiens (human), 712 nucleotides long. The record is from Ensembl. NCBI's taxonomy places the organism in Eukaryota, Metazoa, Chordata, Mammalia, Primates, Hominidae.
AGGCCGGAGGUGGGGCCCGAGUUCCUGUCUCCAGCCCACGAUUUGCCGAUCCAUCUGUCUUCCUCAGAGAGAGAGGGCGGAUAAUGCAGACUGCGCUUCCUUGGAAGACGGCAGGCUCCAGGCCAGACAAACGAAUGUAUCAACCAUACAGAUGAAGAGCUGAGGCUCAGGGAAGGAAUUUGCCAAGGUCACGAAGCUGUAAGACACAGAACCUGGGGUGUCUGCCUGUAGAGCUCACACUGACUCUACAGCCACUGAUCCAAAGCUUCAAUGAGCAAGAGAUGAAGUGACCCCUCCAACCCCACAGCUCAGCGUCUUUCUUGAAGCUCCAACUCCAGGGCCAUUGUUUUCCUGUUCUCCCCGCUCCAAGGCCUCUCCUCUCUCCUUGGCCCAACUCUCUGACAGUGAUGCAGUUCUGGAAGCUGGAAAGCCCAAGAUCAAGGUGCCGACAAAUUCACUGUCUGGCGAGAGCCCUGUUUCCACACAGACUGUUGUAACCUCACAUGGCAGAAAAGGCAAAAAAUCUCUCUGGCGUCACUUUUAUAAGGACACUAAUCCUAUUCAUGAGGGUUCUACCCAUAUGACCUAAUCACCUUCCAAGGCCCCACAUCCUCAUAUCAUCACAUUGGAGGUUAGGAUUUCAACAUAUGAAUUUUGAAGGUAUGCAAACAUUCAGCCUAUAACAACACACAAAUACAAGAAUGGGAUUAUA